UACGUAGGGUGCAAGCGUUAAUCGGAAUUACUGGGCGUAAAGAGUGUGUAGGCGGUGUUCCCAGUCUGUUGUGAAAUCUCCCGGCUUAACUGGGAGGGUGCAGCGGAAACUAGAAUGCUAGAGGGUGGGAGAGGUAAGCGGAAUUCCUGGUGUAGCGGUGAAAUGCGCAGAUAUCAGGAGGAACACCGGUGGCGAAGGCGGUUCUCUGGGCAUGUCCUGACGCUGAGGAGCGAAAGUGUGGGGAGCGAACAGG
Molecule: ribosomal RNA, 253 nt
Filed under: uncultured bacterium
Lineage: Bacteria
Description: partial 16S ribosomal RNA
Rfam family: Bacterial small subunit ribosomal RNA
Source: RNAcentral